Long non-coding RNA from Anolis carolinensis (green anole), 9304 nucleotides. RefSeq lists it as uncharacterized. The transcript is spliced from 2 exons. Lineage: Eukaryota; Metazoa; Chordata; Lepidosauria; Squamata; Anolidae. The record is from RefSeq and is a predicted model, not a curated record.
CCUCCCUCCGUUUCUCCCUCCCGCCCUCCGCGCCUGUGAGAAGGGAAGGCGAAAGGAGGCGCGCUCUGGGAUUGGCGCCAAACUCGAUCCGUAAAACACCAGGCCGGCCCCCUCCCGAUCCCCUCACAGGCCUGAUUAUUGCGCCCAGGCCUCUCAACAACUAGGGUGAUAAAUCUCCCUCCACUGAAGCUUUCUCCCCAAUCCCUGUUUUCACAACGAACAAGCCCAUUUUAUAGGGUUGUUGCAUGUCUUUCGGGCUGUGUGGCCAUGUUCCAGAAGUAUUCUCUCCUGACGUUUCGUCCACAUCUAUGGCAAGCAUCCUCAGAGGUUGUGAGAAAGAACUUAUGAAUCAAAUGGCUGAGGGAGGACAUGGAUCCUUGCUGGGAAAAUUCAGCCAGUGGAAGAAUAAACACUGAAAAUGAAUAUGACUAGUUAAGUAUCUCAUUUACAAAUACAGUAUUUCUCCACAUGCUACUAAUAAUACUUUCUUCAAAUGGCACCACUUUAAGGCACUUGUAUGAAUAAUCCAGGACUAGAAUCUAAUUUCUCAGCUGCUAUUUGUUUGCCAGUGUCUCCCUUCUCAUAUUUCAUGAAGCUGCUCCUUUACAGUAAGAACUUAGUAAUACACUUGCAUUUACCACUCUUUUUUCUUUGAUUUGUUUGAUCUGGCAUGUGGAGAAACUAUACUUAAUUUGUGUAACUGCGUAUGUUUAGUUUAUAUAAAUGUAACGUGGGUUUCCUCCCUCCCCUUGGAGCAGAAGUCCUUCAUUUCAACAAAGUUCACUAUCACCUGCAGUUUUGCAUAUUCACACAAAGUCAAGGAACAUAUCCUCAACAGAUACAGGAGCUGUACUGUAUUAUGAAUUUAGACAAGCCACAAAACAUGGGCUCCCUUUAUAGCAUAUGCUUCAAAUGAUAAGUAAAUAAGAAAUCAUAUACUGUAAGUACCUGCUCACAUAUGAUCAGAGCAAUUAUUCACUAAUUCGUGGCAGGAGUGUGGAGCUAAGAAAACCCAUGCGGAAGAAAGUAUACAUUUCUUCUUGUGCUUUCUGAAUAGAUUCCCAAUUCCUGGGGAACCUACCUAAGGUUUACUCUAGGUUAAAGAUUUCUCAAGUUGAAUAUUGCCAUUGCCUUUCCUUUUAUUCUUAAAUAGUGUGGCUUAUCCAAGACCAACCAGUAGUUUUCCGUGGUUGUGGGGGACUCAGGUCUGAUUUCCAAAAAUCCUGAUCCAGCACUUAGACCACUGCACAUGCUGGCUUUCAGAACAUAAAUACCAGAAGUCCGAUGUGUCUAAUAUUAUUUAAUAGCAUUAUUUCUCCAUUACCAAGCACACAGUUUUUGGUAUGGUACUAAUCUACUUUUACUUUAGCAAUAAACCCGUAUUUCUAUAACAUUUUUGAUGAAAUGGGACCUAAUCUUUUCUGAUACUUGAUUCCCCUAGUUUUUUUUCUCAGACAUUACAACAUUCAGUGGCAGUUUGUUCCAUAGACCUUAUGGCCAGUAUGAACAUACAGUAUUACACACUGUUUGAACAAAGAGUAUUUGUUCUUAGAAUGGUUUAACUAAAAGUGCUACUUUUAACAGUGAAUGUAAGGUAUUUGAUUUUAUAACAUUGUUUUAAUAAAUAUUUUAUCAGAAGAAGCAGACAGUAGCAUAUAUAUUUUGCAUGAGAUGGUUAGCACUGAGAUAAAACAUGAACUACACUUUCGGAUCACAUACCUUCUACAAAUCAUAAUGUUUGCACAUCUGAAAAUUGCCUAGUUCAGUCCUAUCUAUGUCUAUUUAGAGUUCCAGAGAACUUAAUCAUAAGUAAAUAGCACAUAUGCUGCCUGAAAUAUCUGCUCCACAAAAGUAACAUCAGUAUUAAAAUAUAUGAGCAUAAUACAUACAAUUGGAGCCCCUGACGGCUCAGCGAGUUAAACUGCUGAGCUGCUGAACUUGCAGACCAAAAGGUUGGCAGUUCAAAUCCGGGAAGGGGGGUGAGCUCCCGCUGUUAGCCCCAGUUUCUGUCAACCUGGCAGUUCGUAAACAUGCAAAUGUGAGUAGAUCAAUAGGUACCACUCUGGUGGGAAGGUAAUGGCACUCCAUGCAGUCAUGCCAGCCACAUGACCUUGGAGGUGUCUACGGACAACGCCGGCUCUUCGGCUUAGAAAUGGAGAUGAGCACCAACCCCCAGAGUCGGACACGACUAAAUGUCAGAGGAAAAUCUUUACUUCCUUAAUACAUACUAUUCCAAAUUAAAAUAUUUUACUCAGUUUUGAAGAUCUGUCAUUUUUGCUAUUCUUGUAACAAGAAUCUGUCUUGCCCAAAACAAUAUAAAUCUUGAUUUAAUACCAAUCUGGGCUGAAAUUAUUUAUCAUAGUCUCCCAACUGACAGGUAGCUAACAUCUAAGAUUGUAGUCAUGUACAUGUCUACUCAGGAAUGAAUCCUGCUUAAUUUAGUGGAUCUUACUUCCAAGGAAGUUGACAAAAUUGUAAGUCUAGCCUAUCUGCAUGCAAACAAAAGACUUUUAACAAGUAUAAAAAUAAUGGCAGCACUAUCCUUGUUGAGGCACCUGAUCUUUGACUCAAUUCUACUGAACGUCUUGGGUGUUUUCUACCUUUAUGGGCUUUGUGAGUUAUUUCCAAGAACUGUGUGUGCUACAGCUGCAUACUACACAAAAUGGCAUCCUGCCUCUUUUCAUAGGAUUGAUUCCACAUGCAGCAUUUUGUUUUUACUGGGUUCAUAGGAAAUCUCAUUGCUCUACCUUUCCAAUGCAAAUGGUAGUUAACACAUUCAGUUACAAGGCUCAAACUGAUCCUUAUUUCAUUAUAUACUUGUUUACUUUAAAAUGUUUGUGAAUGCAGUUGUAACCAUCCAAAACUCACUUCACUGAGAGGCUUGGUUACUUCCCACCCCAUCUAUCUGUCUGGAUUGACACAACACAUUUUGAAUCCAACCUAGACCAACAUAGUCUCCCUGCCUGCUCCAGCAAUGUGCCUGAUCUUGACACUAUACAAGAAUUAUCUUAGUUUUUCGUCCUCAAAUUGAUUUUCUUCAGUUUGAUGGCAGCAACAACUGGGGAGAGCUGCUGAGGUCUGCAGGGAAAAGUUUUUAUUUACAUUUGUCAAUAAAUUAGCUGCAUUUAGUUUGUCAAUACAUUUAUCUCUCUGUCUCUUGUCAACACUAUUUGUCUUUCUUUAAAUUACAAAGCUGGUUAUUGUGAAGUAGAGGAAAGAGAGACAAACGAUUUCCCACUGGGAAUUGCCAUUGUGAUUGUGAUUAAAGUGUCCUUUUUGUCAAUUUAAACAAAACAAUUCCACCUUAGCACUUUUGGUCUUCACUCUUUACCCAUCGACGGAGUCACGAAGAGAGAAGGUCAAUGGCAUCAACCUUGUAAUGCCAUUUAAGAUAGUCUCUUCAAGAUAACAUAUUUAAUUCAUAUUAUUAUCUUCCGGAAACCUCCCAUAUUAUUUUAAAUGUUUAUAUUUGAGAAACAUGAUUUGUGUUUGUGUGUGUGACUUCAAGUCACCUAUUAACUUAUGGCAACCCCGUGAAUUUUAUAUGGUUUUCUUAUGCAGGUUCUACUAGUGAUUUUACCAGUUCCUUCCUAUGAAAUAUUGCCUAGAGAACUUGUUAUUUGUUGGCAAUCUUCAACAAUUAACUACGGUUGACGGCACUUAGCUUCCAAGAUCAUAUAUGAUCUGAUGUCUUUAGGGUAUCUAUAUGCACGUAAAUAUGCACAAUGAUACGAAUCCUAUCUGUUUGCUGACUUUUGAAUCAACAUAGCUGCAUAAAGCAUAUCAGUAAGGGCUAAGUGGUUUUCAUGAAAAAGCAGCAACUUGUUAGCUAUAUACCGUAAGUGUUUAUUUUACUGGUAUAGAUAGAAAGAAGAUUCCUCCAAGGACAAGCUGCAAUCAAUCCCUCUUCCCAUAAGUUGAAGCAUAUAGUGCAGUAUAUGUGCCCAAAGUUCGGGAUAUAUUUAUGGCAUCAGCAUUAAUUCAGAUGGUUUCAUUGAAUCCUGUGUUUUUCACCUCUCACGGCUAGCUAUGCUUGGAGAAAAACAGUAUUAUUACAAUACAUUCUCCUGCCUUCCAAACAACACCUGUUUACAUUGCUGAAGAGAACUUGUGUGCCUACACUUACAUGUGCAAUAAAUUCCCCAUCACAUGAAGAAAUAAAUAUGCUUACAAAUGAACAUGCAUCCAAAUGAAAAUGUCCUGGUUGCUUCCCUAUGACUGUGAUCAUCUGUGAACUACACAAACCUUGCCCGCUUACUAUCUCAUUGAUCUGCUUUAUUGCAUUAAAAGUCAUAGCUGAAGGGUAAGCAACUGUCACUUCCUCUGCCCAAAAGCAAUAGCUGUUUACAUUUCUGAAGCACCUACAUUUACAAGUGCAAGAAAUUUCCCAUCACAUGAAUGUGAUGGGAAAUUUAUAAAUGAGCAUGUAUAGGUCUUUAAAAGGGUAAAUUCUCCAUAAAUUCUGGUCUUUGUAACUUCCAGCAGUGUGUAAUGCUAUUUUUUAUUCAGCUUAUUCCUGUUUAUUCCCGUCUUAAAAAUGCAAUCCAUUAAAUUGUUUUUUAAAACUAAAAAGGUAAUAGCCUGUGUGAGUCAGAACCAUUAUAAAUCAACAACAAUGCAUCGGGCUAUUAUUCUUGACCUUUUUGUUAAUUGUACAUAUUCUGCUAAUCUUUCACCAGUUUCACAAAUUUGGAAGAAGCACAAUAUCUUUGGCACAAUGAAACAUUUUUAAGCAACAGCAAGAGCAACCCAGUUCUGAAGCAGGAAGCUUUUAAAAGGUAAUGAAGGUAUUCAAUAUGAGUUUGAAGGUGAGAUAAGUACAUACAAUAGGCUCUUCAUCAGCAGUGGCUGUUGGUUCUAAUAUCAGCAGGGCAGUGCUUAUGCUAGUUUUGAGAGUGCUGUCCUGGGUUCUGAAAGUGUUAAGGAUAAAGGUUGAGUAGUACCAUGAAUUGCACAUUUCAUGUUUAGAUUAAAACUUGGAAGUGGUUCACUACCUUCAUUGACAUGGAAACUGCAACCACCCACCAUUCCCACUGCAAAUGAACAAUGACAACUUUUCUGUGGUUUGCUACACUGUUUUCCACAGUGUAUGGUAAACAUCAAAAUGUUUAAAUAGAAGAAACCUUGCCAUUAUAGAAGUGUUUUUUUCAGGAUUUAUUCUAUAGAAGGGAUACUGCUCCAAGGCUGUUUUUUUUUUUUUUUUAACACAAACUCACACAAUUAUGAUUACAAAUUGAGAGUGGAAAUGCAUAGUACUUCUGCACUCAGGACUGUAUUUGAUGUUUUCUGACAUAUGGGGAACAAAAUUAUUUAUAGGUGAGAGGGCUGUAACAUAAACUUUUACCUUCUCUUUUAACAGACUUAGUGGUUUCUGAAGAACUAGAUCCAGAGUUACUCCAGUUUCUGCCUACUAUAUGUAUUGCGAGUAAGAUGGUCCAUGUUUCUGACUGUUACACAGGCACCUCUUUCACAGGUGGCAGGAAAAACAUGCAAUGUUCCAGGUGUGCAACUUGAAUCCAUCCUGAUUUUUGCUUAUCCAUAGCAGUUGUACAAGUACUUUUGUUGUGCUUUUCCUGCAUGACAGGGAGUUGGAAUAAAUGGCCCUUGCGGUCUUUUAUAUGAUUCUAUGAUUCUUCCUAAUAAAUCGGGAUGCCCCUUCCCAUCUGGACAAUACAAUAGAUUUUCUUAUUCCUGAUCCAAAAAGAUAGGUAGUACUCCAGGCAUAUCCUCACACUUUUCAGUGAUACUUGCAUUUUUUCAGAGUGGCAUAAGCAAAAGACAAAACUGUAUAGAGCUAGUGGGUAAAGGAGAAGGUUUUACCCUGACAUUAAGUCCAGUCGUGUUCGACUCUGGAGGUUGGAGCUCAUCUCCAUUUCUAAGUCGAAGAGACGGUAUUGUCCAUAGACACCUCCAGGAUCAUGUGGCCAGCAUGAUUGUAUGGAUCACCAUUACCUUCCCGCCGUGAUCUACUUGUUUUUGACCUGCUAGGUUGGCAGAAGCUGGAGCUAACAGCAGGAGCUCACACCACUCCCCAAAUUCGAACUGCUGACCUUUUGGUCAGGAAGUUCAGCAGGUUAGCGGUUUAAUCCGCUGCAUCAUUGGGGACUCACUGGACUGGAUGCUUAUUGCUCUUAGGUCUAAUUUCAAGUUGUCUUCAUUCUGUUGGAAUGCCAUAGAUGAAGAACAACCUCUUUUUAAUUGAACAUGGCAGGGCAACAAAACUAAGAUUGAUUUUUCUUUGGUGAUUCAAAAAUCCAUGUCUACUGGAGAUGCUUAGUCAUGUGGAGAAGAAGAAAAUUUGCCUCCUUCAAUAUCCUUUUUCAGACUUCCCUCAAGAAUGAGAAGCCUGUCUUCUCAUUUUUCAGUUCCAGCUUCACAUCUCUCAGCAUUCACCAGCCUUUCAACUCACUGUUUAAGGAACUGAUCAUUUUUGAGAAAACUACACUCACAGAAGUUCAUUCUGCCAGCCUGCUGUGCUGUGUCCUUCAUGGGUCCUUGAGAUUUCCUGGUGAGAUGUUUGACAAUAAUCCAAAGGAGCAGUACUCUUUGUUACAUGUAUUAGUGUAAGAUACACCCCCAAAGAACCGCUUAGUGCUUCUUAAUAGCAGUAUUGUUGGUCAAUGGCCUUGCCCUGCUCACAGAAACAAUGACAGGCAUCCAGAGUUCUGCCUGAAAUACCCUUAGCAAAUAUUAACUUUCUCUUUCUCUCUCAAGCUCUGUGACUAAAGUCUUCACUUACAUCUGAAUGUGAAUGGUUUGUAUAAAUUUUCCAGACUCCAGAUGGACACUGCUGUGAUCAAGUCGAAGCCAGAUUCCAAAGCUCUCCAGCUGUGGCUGUGAAGAUUUAAAGGAAGGGAAAAAGAGUGAACGGUUAAAAAAAAAAAAAAAACAAACAAACUUCCUACCCUUGACAAAAAUGCCUGAUAUACCUGAAAGUUGUCAUGGUAUAUCAAAAAAGAAAUUAGGUAAUGUUUACCUGAAGAAUGAAUGCAGUACGAUCCAUAGCUGAUUUCUUCCUCCAUUACUGUAACGGUGAACUAACACACAUGUCAACGAUUCACUCAGCAAUCUGAGUCUAUAUUGCCCUUAUUUUUUUUAGUAGUACUCGGACCAUUUGUAAGAUUUAAAAAUACUGCAUUUUCUCAUCAAGGAUUUAGGUAUUAUAACUUUUGUGGAAGUAGCUUCAUUCUGCUCAACUGUUUUGGCAAUGUUGACAACAGAGAUCUUUUAUUGUGACUGCUUGUAUUAAGUGGGAGAGAAACUUUAUAGCCAGUAUGAGCAAACCUUCAGCUCUCCAGGUGUUUUGGACUUCAACUAGCACAAUUCCUAACAGCCGGUAAGCUGGCUGUGAUUUUUUGGAGUUAAAGUCUAAAUUACCCAAAGGAUCAAAGUUUGCCCAUGUCUGAUUUAUAGAGUCAAUGGCCUAAAUGUCUUUGGACAAAUGGGUUCAAAUUUCUCCUCAACCAUUAAGUUCCCCAAGCAAAUUAUGCUGUAGACACCAUCAGUCAACUUCAGUUGCCCACAAAGUUGCUAUGUGACUAAAAUGGAAAGAGAAAAAAUCAUUUGAACUCCUUUUAGGAAAGAUGAAUUAAAAGUGGUACUAAUGAGUUUAAUGAUUAAAUUAAAUUAAAUUUGCCGGCAUAGCUUAAUAUGUCUUCUUCCAGAAUAAGAGUGUGCCAACUAAAAUGCUCUCCUUUAAACAGAUUGGAGGCACAAGUAUACUGUUUUAUAUUACCAUAUUGCUAUAUUAAUAAGCAUAUUGUAGGCAAUUGCAUUUAUGUAUAUGUUUAUGCACAUAUAUUUUGUAUACCCACAUUGGUUAAAAGGACAGCCAGCUUUAUGCUCCUCCUUUAUAUAAUAUAAGUAAGUAUCUGACUUCAUAUCCCUGAAUAACAUACUUCCCUCAGGGUGUGGGGAGUUGUAGAACCAGUGUGGUGUUGGGGUUUGAGGAUUUGACUACAGCUCUGGAGACCAGGGUUCAAUUCCUUGCUCAGCUAUGGAGACCCACUGGGUAACCUAGGAUGAGUCACAGAAAACCUAUGACGGUGUCACCAUAAGUUAGAAAUGACCUGAAGACAUAUGAUACAACAACAAGACUUUUUUUCAACUCUCUCCCCCAGCUAACUCUCCAAAAAAAAGAUCCCUUUUCCCAGUUCUAGAAUUUAAUCCCAACCUCCCAAUCAGAUGAGCAUAUUUUCCAGGGGUCAGAUGAAGAUAUCUCUCCAUCUCCCAAAAUGUCAUUCACACAUUCCCUUGUAACCCUGACCUUGAAGCAAUGCUUUCUCCUUUGCAAACUAGAGAGUCAUAUUUACAAUAAACUUAGACUGUUUCCUAAUUAUUAGUGAUGGAGAUUUUUUUAAGAUGGAUGCCUCUAAAAGGCAUGUUCUAUCCUUUAUGAUGCCUCAUGCCCUUUCAAUAAUGAGAUUCCCUCUGUGAGUUUUACGCUUCACACACAAUGUAAUGUGAAUGUUGAGCAAUGAGGAUGAUUCAAUGCCAAAAGAAGCAUUGCCGACUGCGUGACGCUUCUCACUCUCUGCCCUUCUCAGGUGGCAGGCGUACUCCCUUUCCGAAGGACGUCAUCCAUUGUUCCAUUCUUAAAUCUAAUUAUUCCCAUAUCCUGCAUGUUUAUCCCUGUCCUUUCUAGAUUAAGAGCCUUUUAAUUGCCCAAUCAAAGAAAAGAACAAUUCUUACUCAAACUAAUCCCAGAAAAAAAACCAUGAUAAUCUUUCUUUUAUGAUAACCUAUUUGUGAUAACCUGAAGUGGAAUAGGAAUCAUGCACAAAUCAGAUGUAUUUGGCUGCAAGCCCCAGCAGCCUUGGGCCUAUCUGCACUGACCAUUUUAUGAAAUUUGAAGCUAGCUUCAAACUGCAGUGGCCAGACAACGAACUCCCAUAAAAGUGCACCAAUGAAAGAAAGCCCUUUAUGUGUGUCUAUUAGGCUUGAGCGAUCCAUGAAAAAAUUGAUUCUAAACUCGCUUCAAAAGUAGGGGGCGCUAGCGUUUCGUUUCUGAUGUCAUUUCCGAAUUUUGCCCCUCAAAAAUUUCAAAAUUUAACGAAAAUUCGCUAAUUUCAAAAGUAAUUCGUUAAUGGCGGAUGCGCAUGCGCAGUGGCAAAAAAAAACACGGGGGGGGGGGAGACUUUACAGGUCUCUCCCGCCCUCAUUUUUUGAGCUAUCUUCUUCAAACUUGGUACAGUGGUAGAACACAUUUAACACUGAUAGCUCACCAAAACAUUUCCCUUAUCCUCUGAUUUUUGGUGAAUUUUUAUAGCUUUUAUAAUAAACCAUUUUAUAAUAAUUGCAGAAA